RNAcentral lists this ribosomal RNA (555 nucleotides) under Triticum aestivum (bread wheat). Its description in RNAcentral is "partial small subunit ribosomal RNA". Lineage: Eukaryota; Viridiplantae; Streptophyta; Magnoliopsida; Poales; Poaceae. The record is from RNAcentral.
AUGCCAGGUGUACCGAGGGAACUCGUUGAGCACACACUUAAUGUUGAUCCCAAGUUUAAACCGGUCAAGCAAUUUCUUCACCGGUUCAAUGAAGAAAGACGCAAAGCUAUUGGUGAGGAGGUAGCCAGGCUCUUGGCGGCUGGGUUUAUCAUCGAAGUGUUUCAUCCUGAGUGGUUGGCUAAUUCGGUGCUAGUACUUAAGAAGAAUGGCACUUGGCGUAUGUGUGUGGACUAUACAGAUCUCAACAAGGCUUGCCCAGCAGAUCCUUUUGCCCUCCCGCGUAUUGAUCAAAUCAUUGAUGCUACGGCGGGUUGUGAGCCUUUAAGCUUUCUGGACGCAUAUUCUGGUUAUCAUCAGAUCAAAAUGGCAGUUAAGGAUCAGGAGAAGACAGCCUUCAUAACUCCUUUUGGAGCCUUCUGCUAUGUGUCUAUGCCCUUUGGGCCCAAGAGUGCACAGGCGACUUAUCAGCGUUGUGUGCAGAAUUGUCUUCAUGACCAGAUCGGCCGCAAUGUUCAUGCUUAUGUGGAUGAUAUUGUGGUAAAAUCUAGGCAGAAG